RNAcentral lists this ribosomal RNA (440 nucleotides) under uncultured bacterium. Its description in RNAcentral is "partial 16S ribosomal RNA". It matches the Rfam family "Bacterial small subunit ribosomal RNA", at positions 338 to 795 of the family's 1533-position model. The record is from RNAcentral.
CCUACGGGUGGCUGCAGUGAGGAAUAUUGGGCAAUGGAGGAAACUCUGACCCAGCCAUGCCGCGUGAGUGAAGAAGGUUUUCGAAUUGUAAAGCUCUUUCGGUUGUGAAGAUGAUGACGGUAACAUCUAACGACGCCCCGGCCAACUUCGUCCCAGCAGCCGCGGUCAUACGCAGGGGGCAAGCGUUGUUCGGAAUUACUGGGCGUAAAGGGUGUGUAGGCGGGAAAGUAAGAUAGUGGUGAAAUGCCUGAGCUCAACUUGGGAACUGCCAUUAUAACUAUUUUUCUAGAGUGACAGAGAGGAGAUUGGAAUACCCAGUGUAGAGGUGAAAUUCGUAGAGAUGGGGUAGAACACCGGAGGCGAAGGCGGGUAUCUGGGUGUCAACUGACGCUGAGGCACGAAAGCAUGGGGAUCAAACAGGAUUAGAUACCCCAGUAGUC